UGCAAAACAGGUGUCCUGUGGGACUAU
Molecule: non-coding RNA, 27 nt
Filed under: Rattus norvegicus (Norway rat)
Lineage: Eukaryota; Metazoa; Chordata; Mammalia; Rodentia; Muridae
Source: RNAcentral